Infundibulicybe gibba is the source of this 85-nucleotide non-coding RNA. The record is from the annotation of a GenBank genome assembly. NCBI's taxonomy places the organism in Eukaryota, Fungi, Basidiomycota, Agaricomycetes, Agaricales, Omphalinaceae.
GGCCUGAUGGUCUAGUAGUAUGAUUCCUUGUUAGGGCGAUAUACGCACAUCGAGGAGGUCCCGGGUUCAAUUCCCGGUCAGGCCC